UACGUAGGUGGCAAGCGUUGUCCGGAUUUACUGGGCGUAAAGGGCGCGCAGGCGGCAGAUCAAGUCAGACGUGAAAGCCCCGGGCUUAACCUGGGAACUGCGUUUGGGACUGGUUUGCUAGAGAUCGGGAGAGGAGAGUGGAAUUCCCAGUGUAGAGGUGAAAUUCGUAGAUAUUGGGAAGAACACCGGUGGCGAAGGCGGCUCUCUGGACCGAUACUGACGCUGAGGCGCGAAAGCGUGGGGAGCAAACAGG
This 253-nucleotide ribosomal RNA is filed under the name uncultured bacterium. RNAcentral's name for it is "partial 16S ribosomal RNA". It matches the Rfam family "Bacterial small subunit ribosomal RNA", at positions 524 to 776 of the family's 1533-position model. The record is from RNAcentral.